Long non-coding RNA from Triticum dicoccoides, 2399 nucleotides. RefSeq lists it as uncharacterized. The transcript has 7 exons. The record is from RefSeq and is a predicted model, not a curated record. NCBI's taxonomy places the organism in Eukaryota, Viridiplantae, Streptophyta, Magnoliopsida, Poales, Poaceae.
GAGGAAAACAUGUUCGCUCUCCUCGCAGUCUCCUCCAUCUCCUCGUACUUCCUCCGUAGCUCGCUCCGCGCCGCCGCCCAUCUCUACCUCCUCUCUCACGUCCUUCCUGCCGCCAUGCCCCUAGCGCAUCGCCAUCUCCCCGAUCUCUCGUUGUCCCUCCAGGGGAGCUGUUGGGCGGGAUCUGGAUGAGGAAAAGAAGACCCCGGCGAAGUCAGAGCGUCCUGCGGUGGCUUGAUCGGUGUGGCCGACGGCCAAUUCGGGUGUGCUACGGGGAGGCCGCCAUCUCUCCUCAUAUCCUCCUAGGAUCCCGAUCUGGAGCGGGGGGACAGACGCGGCCACAGGCCGCCGUCGGGGACGCCUCAGCAUCAUCGUCGACCGAAUUAGGGGAGCAGUAGGAUCUUUGCCCACCCCUGAGCAGGACUCGGCCCGCCCAACAGCCCCUCCACGCCGGCUGUCCGCCCCCCUGUUGCCGCCGCCUCACUCCGGAUCUUCCCCUCGCGAUGCCACUUCGAGACCCGCUCGUCCGACGACGAGGGGGACGACGAGGAGCACUGUGAGGACAAGGACGAGGACGGGAGCAGGGACGAGUGGGUGGAGGACGACGAGGAGACACCCGCCGUGAAGCCACCCAGCGGGAAGACGGAGGAGGAGAAGUUGGAGGAGGCGUGAUGAGUCCGCUCGUGGCCGACGAGAAGUCCUUCAAGCCCUACGAGCCUGUCUUCGCCAUUGUCCAGAUUGGUUUGCAUCAGUUCAAGGUGAGCAAAUGCGACUCCAUGGAGAGGCUCAAGUUCUGCGAUGUGAAUGACAAGGCAAUCUAUGAGGGCAGCAUACUUGUUGAUUGCCAUCUGCAACUUUUUCCUUGAGCAAACUGUAACCAAAGUGCUGCUCCAUCCAUCGGUGCAGCUACAACACGAGCCCCUCUUUAGAUAGAUGGAUGGAAUUAUGUCCUUAUGGUUGUCAUUGCUGUAAUUUUAUUGAGUAGAUGAUCCUUUACAUUACUGGGUUGGAAAGUCGGUGUUCAAUUUGUCAUUACCUAUACUGCGAAGUCUUUGCAUGAGGGUUCUUUUGUCAGAAUGUUCUUUCUACAGGUGAGUUUGUCAUGUUUGAACAGGUUUUGACAGAUCCCCUCCAAUGAUUUUAUUUGUCCAUGGCAACUUCAAGUUUGGCAGCAAGCUAUUCAUCUAGCCAAUAUUCCUUUUUUUGUCUCUGUCCAAUGAUACAAAUUUUAAAUAGUUGCAGCUAGCAUUGUAAUGCUUCAGGUGUUCUCUUUUGAUGACUUAGCUUUUAAACUGCUCACUGCUUGGUCCAUAUUCAUGCUCGGUUACAAUGGAAGGUAAUUUACAAGAAAUGGUAGCACUUAUUUUUGUGUUAGGAAAUUAUAUCAUAAGAAAAUCUGUGGUCAGCCUAGAUUGCAUUAAGAUAUAUGUUUUUAAAAGACUGCUCUCUACUUAUUUCCUACCAGGAAUUCCAUCCAUUUCGUUCCUAUUGAAACUUGGCUAUCAACCACCAAAAACUACUUUUAUUCGCUGAGUACGUUGAUUAUUGUAGUGCAGUGUUUCAUAUGCUGUCAGUAGCUUUUCCCUAAGCUCUUUCUCGCUAUUUAGUUAUUCCUUGAAUCAAGUGGAUAUUUAUUUCGGCUAUUGCAGGUUUUGUUAUCCUUAUGAUUCUGUACCCACUCUGUUAAGGAAUAUAAGGUUCAUAAGUUAUGUCCCAAUCAAAUUUCCGUAACUUUAAGCAAGUAUAUGGAUAGAAAUUUACCAGACAAUGGCGUCCUUCACACUACAAGAUAGGAGAGCAUCUCUUUGUUUAGCAAAUCGUGCCAAUAAUGAUCUCAAGUUUGAAAACAUAUGAGAUAAAGUGCACAUCUCUUUUUAUUUUGUCAUGGCCACCUUGAUCAUUGUAGUUCAGGUUAGUGCUCUUGUGGUACAAGGCUUACAAGAAUAUAUGUGCAGACAAUUACCAGAGUUUUUGGGUGGGUUGUGCACAUGCUCAAACCAGGAAGGAUGCCGGAAGUCCAAGAAAGGCCUUUUGAUCGACCCUUAAAUUAUGAAGGCUCGCGCGGGCAGCGGCCGUACAGACCGUAGCGGAAUUGUAAAACAAAAUAUUCCAGAGGUCCCUUUGUUCAGCCAAACUCUAAAAGGUGUUCUUUUAUUUGGUUCCUUAGUCCUGGCCUGACGAGGUCCGUUUCUUUAGCCAAACUGCAGCACUUAAUGUUAGCUUGUCUUCGCUUUUGGAUCAACUGUAAUGCAUCGUAUCACUCAUUUAUGCUCCAUGGGUGAGUCGUACAUAUCCUCAUUAGAUGUAUCAUUGCAUAUGAUGGUUCUGAACUCAAAUAAUAUUGUAUCUCUAUGUUUAAUCGAUAUGAUACUAAUAGAUCAUAAUAUCAUAGCAUAUGCCCA